RNAcentral lists this ribosomal RNA (255 nucleotides) under uncultured bacterium. RNAcentral's name for it is "partial 16S ribosomal RNA". It matches the Rfam family "Bacterial small subunit ribosomal RNA", at positions 103 to 354 of the family's 1533-position model. The record is from RNAcentral.
CGGGUGAGUAACACGUAUGGAACCUGCCCUAUGCAGGGGGAUAAGCGGAAGAAAUUCCGUCUAAUACCGCAUAACACCAUCUGGAGACAUCUCCAGGUGGUCAAAGGAGGCGACUCCGGCAUAGGAUGGCCAUGCGUCGCAUUAGCUAGUCGGCGGGGUAACGGCCCACCGAGGCGACGAUGCGUAGGGGUUCUGAGAGGAAGGUCCCCCACACUGGUACUGAGACACGGACCAGACUCCUACGGGAGGCAGCAG